Molecule: transfer RNA, 74 nt
Filed under: Candidatus Cloacimonadota bacterium
Lineage: Bacteria; Pseudomonadati; Candidatus Cloacimonadota
Also listed under: 1 other name
Description: tRNA-Val
Rfam family: tRNA
About the family: Transfer RNA (tRNA) molecules are approximately 80 nucleotides in length. Their secondary structure includes four short double-helical elements and three loops (D, anti-codon, and T loops). Further hydrogen bonds mediate the characteristic L-shaped molecular structure. tRNAs have two regions of fundamental functional importance: the anti-codon, which is responsible for specific mRNA codon recognition, and the 3' end, to which the tRNAs corresponding amino acid is attached (by aminoacyl-tRNA synthetases). tRNAs cope with the degeneracy of the genetic code in two manners: having more than one tRNA (with a specific anti-codon) for a particular amino acid; and 'wobble' base-pairing, i.e. permitting non-standard base-pairing at the 3rd anti-codon position.
Source: RNAcentral
GGGUGAUUGGCUCAGUUGGUUAGAGUGCUUCGGUGACAUCGAAGAGGUCACUGGUUCGAAUCCAGUAUCACCCA